CAACUUAUCGGCAGGUCGUCCUUGGCUACAUUUCACUCUCUUCUGCUCAUGUAAGGCUUUGUAAGACGCAUAUAUAGUUCGAGGUGAAGUCAGUGAUUGCGUUUCACAAAUCACAUCCAGUUGAAUUGCUCAUAAUUUGUCUAGAGAGUCAUUGCAUGAAGAGGUAGGGAGUGGAUUGCAGCCAAGGAUGACUUGCCGGGAUGUUGUAG
Molecule: microRNA precursor, 209 nt
Filed under: Nicotiana tabacum (common tobacco)
Lineage: Eukaryota; Viridiplantae; Streptophyta; Magnoliopsida; Solanales; Solanaceae
Source: RNAcentral